Clupea harengus (Atlantic herring) is the source of this 3374-nucleotide long non-coding RNA. The record is from Ensembl. NCBI's taxonomy places the organism in Eukaryota, Metazoa, Chordata, Actinopteri, Clupeiformes, Clupeidae.
GAGUGUCAGCCCUGUCGUCUGCCAAACCAUUUCUUAGAAUCUGGCUACUGCCAUGAGUGUCGAACUUGUGAACAUGAGGUCACAAAAAAAUGCACGUCAACCUCUAACGAAGAAUGCUCUUGCCGUCUUGGCUUUGAUUGCACCAGCUUAGGCUGUGAGACGUGUGUGAAGCUACCGCACUGUGGGAAAGGAACACAACUCAUAAAGACAGGCAAAGUCUAGGUGAAGCUCUAUACACUGCAGCCUACCUUACUGUGGCUAUGACCUAGCAGACUGUCUAUACAUUAUAUUGUAUAGUAUAUAUUAAGUUCUUUUUAAGGUAAGCCCAAGGCCUGCAUAGUCCAUCGCAGCUUAAUUUAAAGUCAGCUAUAUCCUGUGUAUAAGCAGGAAUCCCAUUUUUUUCUGGAUAUUUGGAACAUAAUAGCAUGAUUUAGCACCAGAUUCAGGCAGCAAGGACAAAAGGCAGAGGCCUCAGUGUGGUAUUUAAACAAAAGUAACUAAACCAUAUCCUGGCUUCACAUGAAGAUUGGUAUCAUGGCUGGAUGUACCAUUUCACUGUUGGCUUGCACCAUGGCAAUGGAGGAAACUAUACAAGCAUCUAAAUGUGUUGUUGGUGGUGAGAGGCUGCAGGACGGCACCUAGUUACCAUCCAAGCUUAUAUGGAUGGCAUGAUGACGACAAUGAAAACAACUACUCCAUGUACCCGUUAGCUGUAUGCCAAGUUGAAUGACAAUCUGAAAUGGGCAAGGACAAAAAUGAAGCACAGCAAAUGUAGAAGUUUAUCUUUCAGUAAGGGAAAACAGGUGGAAGAGAGGUUUUGUAUUGAAGGUGAGGUGAUUCCUUCUAUUAUAGAAAAACCUGUGAAGAGUUUAGACAGGUGGUAAAAUUCCACAUUGAGUGACCGAGGUCAGGUUUCAGAGCUUAAAAAAUGAAUUGUAUCAGUACUAUUGAUAAGACCUGAAAUUGUGGUGCUUGCAGUUUGGGCUUUAGCCACAUAUAAGGUGGUCUUUGACUGUGUAUGAAGUUGCUAUUUCAGGCGUGGAGAAACUUGAGUCACGUAUAAGGUAACUAGGAAAUGGCCUUUAGGAGUUACUAAUGACCAGCUUGGCGGAGGAGUUCAAAUGUGCCAAGACCAGCCUGGGGAGGAAUUCGUCACAGUCUAAGGAUCCAGUAGUCACACUACCGCAACGAUAAAAGCAGGGAAGUAGUGGAUCCACAAGAAGAGAUUCAACAUUUACAAGGCACAUUACAGCAUAGGCAUAUCAUUGGUCAGUUACCGGAUGGAAGAUCAGGGUUUGGGCUAGGUGCCAGUUGGAAAGCAUGGGGUAAGGGUACAUUGCUGUAGAGGGGUCAGAUGGUAACUAUCUUUGUUCGCGAGCAAGAGGAGGGAACUAGACAAGCAGGAGUGGCUUCCCACACAAAGCAGGGGCAAUGGAUGAACUUGCAUGAUGUCGAGACUAAGAAGAUCAGCUGGAGAGAAUAUUGGGCCACUUAUAAUGUUCUUCCUGGGUGGGUGAAGACGGAAGCUGCAAGUUGUGUUUGGGUGUAAACUAGCCUGACCCAGGGUCGCUACAGGGGAGGCAUAAUCAGAUUUAUGAUUGAUUGAUGGUUGAGGUCAACUCUUUGCCAAUUAAUGACAUCAUUUAUUUUAUGCAAGAGGGGCUGAAAAGUGGAUCCCAGCCACCUACAAACAGUACUGGCAAAUGGGGCAUUGCGCGGGAUUGAAGAUUGCUGGCUGAUAUCGGAAAACCACUUCAGUUCCAGAGUAUUGUUGUGACUAAUAUGACACCAGACAUGGUAUUGUAUUUUGACCGCAUUGUUUACUUUAUCAAGUUUGGCGUCAUGGGCCUAAUUCAACAAAACACUGAUGAAGGAAGGUGCCUGCUUGAAAACCCCACUGAAAACCCCCUAACAGGUCCCUAGUACAACAUGCAGAGCGUGUUGCGGCUGUCACCAGCCAGCUGUAUGUUGUUGUUGUAUCCUGCUGCUCAGGAUGUAUGGUUGGGAAGUUGUUAUAUUGGUUAGGGUAGGUUGUUGGGUAUGAGUACUUGCAUGUGACAGUGCACGUUGGACAGUCAGAGGAUUGGCAGCUGUGGGACAUCCACAACCAAUAGCACAAAGAAUUUAACAUGUUUCAAUCACAAACCAUGAAAUUAAUUAGAAUUUUUUUUUAUCGCUUGACAGCCCUAAUUUAUUAUAAUUUUAACCACUCCAAAGUCAAAACUAAUGCAUUUGUUUUUAAAUUUUUACAGGAAAUUUCAACUUUUUAUAUUCUUGCCAGCCAUGUACAAAUAGUACAUACUCUGACACUGUGAAUGGCACUUGCAAACCGUUCAUAAAGUGUCACAGCAUGGGUUUGGAUGAGGUCUUUCCAGGCAACAAAACUCACAAUGCAAAGUGUGGUAUAAAAGGCCUCACCACUAGUCAGGAUAUAUUUAUAUUUGGGUCAAUUUUUAUUGGCCUUAUCUGUUUGCUCAUGCUGUUGGCUAUCUGUGCUUGGAGGAAUAAAUCAAGGACGGCUUGGUCUGCUAAAUACACCUCAAGAUAUAAGCCUAGGUUGGCUUCAGAAGCAGGCCACUUGCCCUUGUCAGUUGAAGAGAAGGGAACCAAAAUCUCACUGGAGGCUCCUCUAAAAGAUAACAUUAUCAUGCCUGAAGCUGUAUAGUUCAGCAACUGGAUUUGUCUGUCUAUAUGAGUGUCUGUCAGAAGACCAACAGGUGCCAGCAUUUUGUGUGUCAUGGUAAUAAGUAUUUCCUACUCUGACACACCUGUGAUAAUAAGACUUCAAGCAGUAAACAUUUAUACAUUUUAUUUUUUUUCUGCUUGUAAUCUCAUAUCCACUUACCCCUAAAAUGCCAUUUGAUUCUUUCUAUGAUAGAUUAGUAGCCUACAUUAGAGCUGGCAUGAUUACCUUUGCCUCCAGGAGUUUGCGAAGUUGCUAUUUUCUCUUAUUACCGCAAUAUUUCUGCAAACAAAAGCAAAGUCAUGGAAUUUCUGCAUUAUUUGAUUUAACCCAAAAUUGCCACUAUUUUAAACCUACAUUUUUGAGAAAUCCCACAGCAAAUUCAUUCACUUUUGUCCGCAACAAUCACAACAAGCCCUCGCAAGAUUCUGGAAGGACUGCUUUGUGGAUUUGUACAUGGCUUGCUCAUUCUAAUCUUGCAGCACUGUACCUACUGUAGGCUACUCAUUAAUGGCCAUUCAUGAGAUAAUCUUGAUAUGUAUUUGUUUGCUUUGCUAAUGAUGGCGAUUUCCAGUAUAUUGCUGAAAAAUGUUGUUGUUGUUGUUAUGUUAUAAACUGUUUUGCUUGUUGCAGAGCUGAAAAAUGUCUGUUACUGCUGUAAAUUACACCUUUUAAAUUAAUUAUUCAUACA